RNAcentral lists this long non-coding RNA (552 nucleotides) under Prunus dulcis (almond). Its description in RNAcentral is "sRNA ncRNA". The record is from RNAcentral. Lineage: Eukaryota; Viridiplantae; Streptophyta; Magnoliopsida; Rosales; Rosaceae.
GUAAAAUGGGUGAAGCCCACAUUGCAAACUAACAUUCAAGUUCAACACAUGCUCUAACAUUCAAGUUGAACACAAAAUCAAACCACACACCCACCAAAUCAAACCACACACCCAUCAAACCAAACCUCAUACCUACCAAACCAAAUCACACACCCACCAAACCAAGCCAUUUGCUUUGCCUAUAAAUAGGCAUUCUAUUUGCUUGUAAUGUGAGAUGAAAUGAGAGAAGAUGAAGGGAAGGAAGAAAGAGGGCGAGUGUGUGAAGAGAAAGAGAGCAAAGAGAAAUUCUCCUAGAGAGAAAAUUAGGUGAGCAUACAUAUUGUAAACACUAGAGUUGUAACCAUAUUAUGUUAUGAAUGAAAGGUUACUGUUGCUGCUCUCCGAGGACGUAGACAUAGCCGAACCUCGUUAAAUGCUGUGUCUCAUCUACUUUACGUGCAGUUCAAUAUUCGCUCAUAUCCCCGUUCAUUUUAUAACACUACCCAAUUUUUUUUAAAAGAGACGUGGAUUGCUGGGAAGUGUGUGGUAAGCCGCUUUGAACGUUAAAAAGAA